RNAcentral lists this ribosomal RNA (768 nucleotides) under Salmonella enterica subsp. enterica serovar Welikade. Its description in RNAcentral is "partial 23S ribosomal RNA". It matches the Rfam family "Bacterial large subunit ribosomal RNA", at positions 1 to 1269 of the family's 2925-position model. Lineage: Bacteria; Pseudomonadati; Pseudomonadota; Gammaproteobacteria; Enterobacterales; Enterobacteriaceae. The record is from RNAcentral.
ACUCCACAUACGCAUCCUUUGCUGAGGAUGCGGUUAACGGAGCGAAAGCGACGUUCAACCGCAAAAGAAGCAGAGGGGGCUUAGUGGUGGGGUGACUGCGUACCUUUUGUAUAAUGGGUCAGCGACUUAUAUUCUGUAGCAAGGUUAACCGAAUAGGGGAGCCGGAGGGAAACCGAGUCUUAAUUGGGCGUUAAGUUGCAGGGUAUAGACCCGAAACCCGGUGAUCUAGCCAUGGGCAGGUUGAAGGUUGGGUAACACUAACUGGAGGACCGAACCGACUAAUGUUGAAAAAUUAGCGGAUGACCUGUGGCUGGGGGUGAAAGGCCAAUCAAACCGGGAGAUAGCUGGUUCUCCCCGAAAGCUAUUUAGGUAGCGCCUCGUGAAUUCAUCUCCGGGGGUAGAGCACUGUUUCGGCUAGGGGGCCAUCCCGGCUUACCAACCCGAUGCAAACUGCGAAUACCGGAGAAUGUUAUCACGGGAGACACACGGCGGGUGCUAACGUCCGUCGUGAAGAGGGAAACAACCCAGACCGCCAGCUAAGGUCCCAAAGUCAUGGUUAAGUGGGAAACGAUGUGGGAAGGCCCAGACAGCCAGGAUGUUGGCUUAGAAGCAGCCAUCAUUUAAAGAAAGCGUAAUAGCUCACUGGUCGAGUCGGCCUGCGCGGAAGAUGUAACGGGGCUAAACCAUGCACCGAAGCUGCGGCAGCGACGCUGAUGCGUUGUUGGGUAGGGGAGCGUUCUGUAAGCCUGCGAAGGUGUGUCGUGAGGC